UACGUAGGGCCCGAGCGUUGUCCGGAUUCAUUGGGCGUAAAGAGCUCGUAGGCGGCUGCUCAAGUCGAACGUGAAAACUCGGGGCUCAACUCCGAGCUUGCAGUCGAUACGGGCAGGCUAGAGUUCGGCAGGGGAGACUGGAAUUCCUGGUGUAGCGGUGAAAUGCGCAGAUAUCAGGAGGAACACCGGUGGCGAAGGCGGGUCUCUGGGCCGAUACUGACACUGAGGAGCGAAAGCAUGGGGAGCGAACAGG
Molecule: ribosomal RNA, 253 nt
Filed under: uncultured bacterium
Lineage: Bacteria
Description: partial 16S ribosomal RNA
Rfam family: Bacterial small subunit ribosomal RNA
Source: RNAcentral